UAAUCCUAAUGGAGUACAAGAAUACUCUGAACUGAAGAGAGAGGGAGAGAAUAAGGGUCAACAGGGUCUGUCUACUGGUGCUACUGGACUAUAUUCAACCAUUAAUAAAAACACCAACAACCAGGUGUUAGUUGAUGAAUCAGCUCAUAAGCCAGUGUAUGCUGAUCUGGCUAUUGCUGCUAAAGGGAAGAGACCACAGGCAGCACCAACACAAGAACAACCAGUGGUAUAUGCAUCAGUUAACAACAAAUCUGUUCCUCCUCCCAUUCCUCCUCCAGCUGCUCCUCAUAAAGUAUUGUAUGCUGAUCUAUCAAUAGCAGCUGAUAAGAGAACACCAAAGAAUAAACCACCCACUGAGG
RNAcentral lists this long non-coding RNA (359 nucleotides) under Amphimedon queenslandica. RNAcentral's name for it is "uncharacterized LOC109589484". The record is from RNAcentral. Lineage: Eukaryota; Metazoa; Porifera; Demospongiae; Haplosclerida; Niphatidae.